GACGAACGCUGGCGGCGUGCUUAACACAUGCAAGUCGAACGGAAAGGCCCUGCUUUUGUGGGGUGCUCGAGUGGCGAACGGGUGAGUAACACGUGAGUAACCUGCCCUUGACUUUGGGAUAACUUCAGGAAACUGGGGCUAAUACCGGAUAGGAGCUCCUGCUGCAUGGUGGGGGUUGGAAAGUUUCGGCGGUUGGGGAUGGACUCGCGGCUUAUCAGCUUGUUGGUGGGGUAGUGGCUUACCAAGGCUUUGACGGGUAGCCGGCCUGAGAGGGUGAACGGCCACAUUGGGACUGAGAUACGGCCCAGACUCCUACGGGAGGCAGCAGUGGGGAAUAUUGCACAAUGGGCGGAAGCCUGAUGCAGCAACGCCGCGUGCGGGAUGACGGCCUUCGGGUUGUGAACCGCUUUCGCCUGUGACGAAGCGUGAGUGACGGUAAUGGGUAAAGAAGCACCGGCUAACUACGUG
This 468-nucleotide ribosomal RNA is filed under the name uncultured bacterium. Its description in RNAcentral is "partial 16S ribosomal RNA". It matches the Rfam family "Bacterial small subunit ribosomal RNA", at positions 28 to 507 of the family's 1533-position model. The record is from RNAcentral.